AUUGAACGCUGGCGGCAGGCCUAACACAUGCAAGUCGAACGGUAGCACAGAGAGCUUGCUCUUGGGUGACGAGUGGCGGACGGGUGAGUAAUGUCUGGGAAACUGCCCGAUGGAGGGGGAUAACUACUGGAAACGGUAGCUAAUACCGCAUAACGUCGCAAGACCAAAGUGGGGGACCUUCGGGCCUCACACCAUCGGAUGUGCCCAGAUGGGAUUAGCUAGUAGGUGGGGUAAUGGCUCACCUAGGCGACGAUCCCUAGCUGGUCUGAGAGGAUGACCAGCCACGCUGGAACUGAGACACGGUCCAGACGCCUACGGGAGGCAGCAGUGGGGAAUAUUGCACAAUGGGCGCAAGCCUGAUGCAGCCAUGCCGCGUGUAUGAAGAAGGCCUUCGGGUUGUAAAGUACUUUCAGCGGGGAGGAAGGCGGUGAAGUUAAUAACUUCACCGAUUGACGUUACCCGCAGAAGAAGCACCGGCUAACUCCGUGCCAGCAGCCGCCGUAA
Molecule: ribosomal RNA, 504 nt
Filed under: uncultured bacterium
Lineage: Bacteria
Description: partial 16S ribosomal RNA
Rfam family: Bacterial small subunit ribosomal RNA
Source: RNAcentral